This 253-nucleotide ribosomal RNA is filed under the name uncultured bacterium. RNAcentral describes it as "partial 16S ribosomal RNA". It matches the Rfam family "Bacterial small subunit ribosomal RNA", at positions 524 to 776 of the family's 1533-position model. The record is from RNAcentral.
UACGUAGGGUGCAAGCGUUAAUCGGAAUUACUGGGCGUAAAGCGUGCGCAGGCGGUUUUGUAAGUCUGAUGUGAAAGCCCCGGGCUCAACCUGGGAACUGCAUUGGAAACUAACGGGCUCGAGUGCGGCAGAGGGGGGUGGAAUUCCACGUGUAGCAGUGAAAUGCGUAGAGAUGUGGAGGAACACCGAUGGCGAAGGCAGCCCCCUGGGCUAACACUGACGCUCAGGCACGAAAGCGUGGGGAGCAAACAGG